RNAcentral lists this ribosomal RNA (393 nucleotides) under uncultured bacterium. RNAcentral describes it as "partial 16S ribosomal RNA". It matches the Rfam family "Bacterial small subunit ribosomal RNA", at positions 523 to 918 of the family's 1533-position model. The record is from RNAcentral.
AUACGGAGGAUCCGAGCGUUAUCCGGAUUUAUUGGGUUUAAAGGGAGCGUAGGCGGACGCUUAAGUCAGUUGUGAAAGUUUGCGGCUCAACCGUAAAAUUGCAGUUGAUACUGGGUGUCUUGAGUACAGUAGAGGCAGGCGGAAUUCGUGGGGGAGGGCGGAAAUGCUUCGAUAUCACGAAGAACUCCGAUUGCGAAGGCAGCUUACUGGACUGUAACUGACGCUGAUGCUCGAAAGUGUGGGUAUCAAACAGGAUUAGAUACCCUGGUAGGCCACACAGUAAACGAUGAAUACUCGCUGUUUGCGAUAUACGGCAAGCGGCCAAGCGAAAGCAUUAAGUAUUCCACCUGGGGAGUACGCCGGCAACGGUGAAACUCAAAGGAAUUGACGGGG